This 480-nucleotide long non-coding RNA is filed under the name Mytilus galloprovincialis (Mediterranean mussel). Lineage: Eukaryota; Metazoa; Mollusca; Bivalvia; Mytilida; Mytilidae. The record is from RNAcentral.
GGCUUGACUUUGAUAUAUAUGAUUAAAGAGUGUAUUUUCUACAAUACCGUGUCCCAGUUUUUGGAUAAUUUGUUUCUAAAUGAAUUUAUAGGUCUCCAAAGAUGAAAGGUGAAAUUGAGGUUUGGCACCCAGCAGUUAAAUCAAUAUAUCUUCUUACUGGAGGCAUAUAUCAAAAAUCUGAGACACGGUUUUGGAGAUUGUAUAUGGUUGAUUACAGGGAUGAAAACAAAUUUUUACUACCAUUUGACAUGAAAGUGCCAUUUUCAUCCAAGUUGGAAGACCACUUUUUUGACAAUUAAUAAGCUAUAUUUUGAGAUAAAUCAAACCAAAAAUAAAUUUAUAUAUAAAUUAAGAAAGAGUUAUAUUUCAGCUUUAAAAUGAGUUAAAGAUUUUAAAAAUCCAUUGAGUAGUUUUGGAGAAAUUAAUCUUUAAAGACUGUUGAUUGGAGUCAGAAAAUUCUGACUGUAGUGCUACCUUAAA